UCUGGCUCAGAUUGAACGCUGGCGGCAGGCCUAACACAUGCAAGUCGAACGGUAACAGGAAGAAGCUUGCUCUUGCUGACGAGUGGCGGACGGGUGAGUAAUGUCUGGGAAACUGCCUGAUGAGGGGGAUAACUACUGGAAACGGUAGCUAAUACCGCAUAACGUCGCAAGACCAAAGAGGGGGACCUUCGGGCCUCUUGCCAUCGGAUGUGCCCAGAUGGGAUUAGCUUGUUGGUGGGGUAACGGCUCACCAAGGCGACGAUCCCUAGCUGGUCUGAGAGGAUGACCCAGCCACACUGGAACUGAGACACGGUCCAGACUCCUACGGGAGGCAGCAGUGGGGAAUAUUGCACAAUGGGCGCAAGCCUGAUGCAGCCAUGCCGCGUGUAUGAAGAAGGCCUUCGGGUUGUAAAGUACUUUCAGCGGGGAGGAAGGGAGUAAAGUUAAUACCUUUGCUCAUUGACGUUACCCGCAGAAGAAGCACCGGCUAACUCCGUGCCAGCAGCAGC
Molecule: ribosomal RNA, 509 nt
Filed under: uncultured bacterium
Lineage: Bacteria
Description: bacterial SSU rRNA
Rfam family: Bacterial small subunit ribosomal RNA
Source: RNAcentral